GCCAGGCUAGCUCAGUUGGUAGAGCAAUGGACUACAAAUCCCUGGAUCUUGGUUUGGUCCCUUGUCUGGCC
RNAcentral lists this transfer RNA (71 nucleotides) under Dreissena polymorpha. It matches the Rfam family "tRNA". From Rfam's summary of the family: Transfer RNA (tRNA) molecules are approximately 80 nucleotides in length. Their secondary structure includes four short double-helical elements and three loops (D, anti-codon, and T loops). The record is from Rfam by way of RNAcentral. Lineage: Eukaryota; Metazoa; Mollusca; Bivalvia; Myida; Dreissenidae.